CUCUCAUGUAACCUUUCUGUUUUCAAACCUCACCUUCUCCAUCAAUAACUUGGUCGUUGUCAGAGGCUGAUACCUUUGGUUUUUUUCCUUCAAGAAAUGUAACUUAUGACGAUGGUUGCGUGAAUAAAGAUAGAGGAUAGUAAAGGGUAAUGGAUAUUCAUUAUAUAAUUGAUGUGUUUGAGGUGUUUGAUUCAUGCGAUAUUUUACAUUUGGUAUAUGGAGUAAUAUGAGGAAAAGGAUCCGGCCAGUAGUAAACCAUAAGAUGUUAUCAAAGUGGCCUUUGUCAACAAUGCGAGAAUCCAUAAGAGUAAGUGUAAAUUGAAGUGGAUCACCGAGUUGUUUGGUCCUGUGGACUUGACCAGAUACCACUUGGUAUACCUGGACCUUGAUGGUGACUGGGUGAUGGCAAGGAACCAGCGUGAGUUUGGGCUUCAAGGACAACAAACUCACAAUCAGCAUCCAGUAGUGAUUCCUAUUCAUUCAAAGGAUGAUUGAUUGAUAUGUGAGGUUUGGAAAAAAUGGUUGUUUUCUUAAUUAAUAAUAGUCACUGACUAGCUAGGAUCUGUUGAUGAUAACUUAUGACUAGGAUUUCGGAUUUUUGUGGUUUUAGACUGGAUGCUUUAAUAUUUGACUUUAUAUGCCUUUUCAUGACGAUCUAUUGAUGAUAACUUAUAAUGACUAGGCCGGAUUUGGGAUUUGUGGUUUAA
Molecule: long non-coding RNA, 707 nt
Organism: Erigeron canadensis
Lineage: Eukaryota; Viridiplantae; Streptophyta; Magnoliopsida; Asterales; Asteraceae
Exons: 4
Source: RefSeq, a predicted model, not a curated record